This is a long non-coding RNA of Chenopodium quinoa (quinoa), 3147 nucleotides long. RefSeq lists it as uncharacterized. The transcript is spliced from 9 exons. Lineage: Eukaryota; Viridiplantae; Streptophyta; Magnoliopsida; Caryophyllales; Amaranthaceae. The record is from RefSeq and is a predicted model, not a curated record.
AUAUAUUCUUGGGUUUUUAACACACUAACUUGCUAUAUAAUGACUAUUUCAAGCAAUUAUGCUUAUGGGGUUAUUUUAUAUAUUUAAAACAAAAUUCCAGAUUUAAUUACCUAUUUCAAAGUUGCUGUAAUUUGAUAUAAAACACUAUAUUUUCAUAAUUCUAACAUGUAAACUUAAAGUUGGGAUGUUAUAUUACUAACUUUGAUUUUUGGGGACAAUCUAAAGACUUUGUUUUGGUAAUUUAAGAGGUUUUAAAGUAGUUUAGUAUUGCUGUAAUUUUGAUUGCUUUGGUAUUGAUUUAUUCCUAAUUGUUUGGUUUAGGAGAGGACUUCGUAGAAGGCGACUUCUAGUUUUAAAGUGGCCAACCGGAUUGUUUACACAAGGUUAUAUACAGGUUUCUCACAGGUUUUUAAGAGAGAAUUAUUGGGGUGUUACACAAUGUUUGUCACAUCAAGAUUCAGCAAGCAGUUGAUAAGCUUCCUUUGAUGCCGAUUGUAACUGUGUUUAUGAAGGCCUUCUUACUAAUGAUAUUGGGACUUCUUACUAAUGAUGUUGGGACUGCUGAUAUGUCCCACUACAAAUGGUCAGAGCUUGGCAACUACGUUAUUGCAUUCUGUUUCAAUAGGGGCUGCUGCACCGGAUUUCGAUUGGUGUACAUAUGCACAUAGUUGGCCGAUGACUUGUGUCAGAGAUUUUAGGAAGAGGCUACACAACAAAGGGUACUCGGCUGCUGGUGGUGGAUGUGUCCUAUUCCUUCAGGUCUUGUUUUCCUCUAUAUGUUAAUUACAAUUAUUAUGAAAGCAAUAUAUGUCUUGAAAUGUGAGAUUGGGUUUAUGGCAGUCUUGGUAUCAUUUUUGGUUUGUUGAUUUGCAUAUGAUUGAAAUAAAGGUUGUAGUCCAUAUUAGUUUUGCUUAUGAAAUUGCAUAUUUGCAUAUCAUGUUAGAUGUAUAGAGUAGGUAGACUGUGCUUUAAGGUGGUGAUGCACUUGGUUUUAAUUGAAAGACAUAUGAGAAUCUUUUGUAGUGGGGAUGCACUUUAGGUCUUUUUACUAAACCUUUUUUUUCGUUUUUUGUUUUCUUUAUGCAUUUGUUGUGUAGAUAUUUUACUUGGACCACCUAGCAAUGCCUCCUUUGAGCUGCGGGGGUUAUGCCAAGAUCGGUGGUGUGGACUGAGAAGAAACUGCCAGCUGCUAUUCAAGCUGAUUUGCUCCCUUCCCUAAACUAUGGGAAACAGAAGGUGAAUGUGUUAUUUUGUUAUAUACAAUAUUUUGGAUCCUUUUUAAAUUCCCUUAAAAUCAAUUUAGACGGUUGAUGUUGCGUACGAGGAACGACAUCCUUUGAUUGGAAGGGAUUCAUUCGAAUCGUUAGAAGUCAACAUUGCAAAUGAGAAGAGGAUGCUGAAAGCCUGCAACCAAAGCAUACCUACAUUAAUGAAGCCUAUGGUUGAGAACAUGGAGCAAAAGAUGGAGUAGAUGCUGAAAGCUCAUAACCACAUCAUACCUACUUUGAGGAAUGCACCGAAGGAAAGGUCACUUGUUCACAAGUCCCCUGUUGUAAGUAAGGGUGAUGUGAGUACUGGUAGCUCUUCAAUCAAGGAGCGGGAGUUCGAAUCACAUAAUGUGAAUAGGAAAUCUCUGUCUGAUACUUUCAUGAAGAUAGAUGAUGUUAUCGAUGUUGGGGAUACAACGAUGAAAGUUGUAGAUGUGAUUGAGGGAGUCACAUAAAAGGUGUGUUAUGAUUUUUGGGACAUGAAAGAGGUGUAAGGUGUGGUUGAAGGACGUGCUGGAGGAGGGGUUGUAGGGGUUGCUGCUUGAGAAGGGGUUGGAGGGGUUGCUGCUGGAGGAGGGGUUGAUGAGGGCAAUGGUGAAAGCAGGGAAGAACGAAUUGGGAAGGGCAAUGAUGGUGAUGGUGAUGGUGAAGGGUUGCAGCCUCCUGAGACAACACAUGAACCUGUGACAACCCAUGUAUCAAAGGAAGGUGAAGAUGGAGAAAAGAACCGCAACCGGAGUGAAAGUAAGCGGACUCUAAAGCCGUCUUCUAAGGUGCUUUCUAGAGACUUUGUCGGAAAUUGUAGGGGUUAGGUGUCUAAGCUUAAGACACCUGAUUUGAAUCUUGUGAAGUGGAUUAAGAUGGGAUUUUCCGGGACUGGCAGUGGUCCUGUGCUGUUGGAAUUGAAUGUGAAGGGGAAUAUGCUAAUAAUAAGGAAUGUUGCUAUAAUGUUCUUCAUUGUCGCCAAAGGGUUGGUACGGAGUAUGUAUCUGUGGAGUCUAAGUUGUAUACUAAGGAAUGGGGCAUCAAGUAUGAGGGGCACAACAAAAGGAUAAUGCUGCAUCCUGCACUUGCGAUUAAGCAAGUUACUGACAUGGAUGACGCUCCCACUCUUGCCAAAAAAAUGGGCAUCAUUUGCGCGGUGUGGCUUGUACCCAAGUUUCUGUGAUAUUUGUCCCUAUACUAAUGGAUGAACAUUUGGUGGUGUGUUGCCUUCUCCUUCAAAGAACUGAAGAUAUGGUUGAUCGACUCGAUGUACUCUAACCAUAUUAAAAAACAUGAAGCAUUCAUAUCAAAAUUGAUAAAUGCAAUGGAGGUGUUGAUAAACACCCAUGACAGUAGAUGGGUACAGGGUACCUUUGGAGGGUGGCCUGUUGAAAGCGUCGAAAUUGUCCACCAACUAGAUAUUGUUAGUUGUGGAGUUAUCAUGCUAGCUUGCAUUAGGGCUAGCACGGAUGGUUUUCAAACAAAGUAUCAAAUGGAAGGAGGAGUUGAUUCACAGGACAUGGAAUUUGGUCGGACAUAGUUUCUUAUUGAGGAUCUCCGUUCAGUUUACAAUGAAAGACGGGACUUUCUUGAUGGCUUAGUUGUGUUGUAUGUGGCUUAUUGUAUGGGUUGUUGAAAUAUUUUGUAUAUUAUCUUGUUUUGAAUUACUUUGUGCUAAACAGUAAGUUAAUAUAGUGGCGGGGAAGGAGUGGAAACACUAAAGUGGUGGGUUGGUUUAAGGCAUUGAUGUUACAUUAGACUAACUUACUUGGUAUCGGUGGCAUACCAAGAUGACUAGAUGCUUUUGCAAUGCUUAUCAUGCUUAUUAUUAUGAUUUAGCAUGCUUUUUUGCAAUGUACAUUUGUAGAUCAUGGUUUAACAUGCUUCAUGUUUA